This 285-nucleotide long non-coding RNA is filed under the name Gossypium barbadense (sea-island cotton). Its description in RNAcentral is "long non-coding RNA (GBAR_LNC016368)". The record is from RNAcentral. Lineage: Eukaryota; Viridiplantae; Streptophyta; Magnoliopsida; Malvales; Malvaceae.
AAACAUGAAAAGGAAAUAGAGAAAGAGAAUAAUAAUAAAAAGUUGUGGGCCUACACUUUUGAACAAAUCUGCAACCACCGUAUUUGUUAUGUAUUUAGGGAGAGUAGGGUAUUUUUUGGGUUUUUUUUUUUUAUACUUUGACGACAUCGCUUAAAAAAAUAUUUUUUUAUUUCAUGAUUAAAGGUGGAGAGAUUUUAAGGUGGUGUCGCUUGAUACAUUAGUAGUACUCAAAAAUAUUGUAGAAAAUAAUUUAUUUUUGUAAUUAAUCUACAUAUUAUAUCAUUU